RNAcentral lists this ribosomal RNA (524 nucleotides) under uncultured bacterium. Its description in RNAcentral is "bacterial SSU rRNA". It matches the Rfam family "Bacterial small subunit ribosomal RNA", at positions 345 to 879 of the family's 1533-position model. The record is from RNAcentral.
GAGGCAGCAGUGGGGAAUAUUGCACAAUGGGCGGAAGCCUGAUGCAGCAACGCCGCGUGAGGGAUGACGGCCUUCGGGUUGUAAACCUCUUUUAGCAGGGAAGAAGCGAGAGUGACGGUACCUGCAGAAAAAGCGCCGGCUAACUACGUGCCAGCAGCCGCGGUAAUACGUAGGGCGCAAGCGUUAUCCGGAAUUAUUGGGCGUAAAGAGUUCGUAGGCGGUCUGUCGCGUCUGCUGUGAAAACCCGAGGCUCAACCUCGGGCCUGCAGUGGGUACGGGCAGACUAGAGUGCGGUAGGGGAGAUUGGAAUUCCUGGUGUAGCGGUGGAAUGCGCAGAUAUCAGGAGGAACACCGAUGGCGAAGGCGGAUCUCUGGGCCGUAACUGACGCUGAGGAGCGAAAGGGUGGGGAGCAAACAGGCUUAGAUACCCUGGUAGUCCACCCCGUAAACGUUGGGAACUAGUUGUGGGGACCUUUCCACGGUCUCCGUGACGCAGCUAACGCAUUAAGUUCCCCGCCUGGGGA